This 468-nucleotide ribosomal RNA is filed under the name uncultured bacterium. Its description in RNAcentral is "partial 16S ribosomal RNA". It matches the Rfam family "Bacterial small subunit ribosomal RNA", at positions 28 to 507 of the family's 1533-position model. The record is from RNAcentral.
GACGAACGCUGGCGGCGUGCUUAACACAUGCAAGUCGAACGGAAAGGCCCUGCUUUUGUGGGGUGCUCGAGUGGCGAACGGGUGAGUAACACGUGAGUAACCUGCCCUUGACUUUGGGAUAACUUCAGGAAACUGGGGCUAAUACCGGAUAGGAGCUCCUGCUGCAUGGUGGGGGUUGGAAAGUUUCGGCGGUUGGGGAUGGACUCGCGGCUUAUCAGCUUGUUGGUGGGGUAGUGGCUUACCAAGGCUUUGACGGGUAGCCGGCCUGCGAGGGUGACCGGGCACAUUGGGACUGAGAUACGGCCCAGACUCGUACGGGAGGCAGCAGUGGGGAAUAUUGCACAAUGGGCGGAAGCCUGAUGCAGCAACGCCGCGUGCGGGAUGACGGCCUUCGGGUUGUAAACCGCUUUCGCCUGUGACGAAGCGUGAGUGACGGUAAUGGGUAAAGAAGCACCGGCUAACUACGUG